RNAcentral lists this ribosomal RNA (139 nucleotides) under uncultured ectomycorrhiza (Basidiomycota). RNAcentral describes it as "partial 28S ribosomal RNA". It matches the Rfam family "Eukaryotic large subunit ribosomal RNA", at positions 1 to 137 of the family's 3401-position model. The record is from RNAcentral. Lineage: Eukaryota; Fungi; Basidiomycota.
UUGACCUCAAAUCAGGUAGGACUACCCGCUGAACUUAAGCAUAUCAAUAAGCGGAGGAAAAGAAACUAACGAGGAUUCCCCUAGUAACUGCGAGUGAAGCGGGAAGAGCUCAAAUUCGAAUCCUGGCGGCGCGUGGCCG